AUUUCCUACGGGACGCAGCAGUGAGGAAUAUUGGUCAAUGGUCGGGAGACUGAACCAGCCAAGCCGCGUGAGGGAUGAAGGUACAGAGUAUCGUAAACCUCUUUUGUCAGGGAACAAAGGCGGGGACGCGUCCCCGGAUGAGUGUAACUGAAGAAAAAGCAUCGGCUAACUCCGUGCCAGCAGCCGCGGUAAUACGGAGGAUGCGAGAGGUAUCCGGAUUUAUUGGGGUUAAAGGGUGCGCAGGCGGUCUUGUAAGUCAGCGGGCAAAACCCGGGG
This 276-nucleotide ribosomal RNA is filed under the name uncultured bacterium. Its description in RNAcentral is "partial 16S ribosomal RNA". It matches the Rfam family "Bacterial small subunit ribosomal RNA", at positions 334 to 607 of the family's 1533-position model. The record is from RNAcentral.